UCCCUGGUGGCUCAGAUGGUAAAGAAUCUGUCUACAAUGCAGGAGAUCCAGGUUCAACCCCUGGGUUGGGAA
This 72-nucleotide transfer RNA is filed under the name Bos taurus (domestic cattle). It matches the Rfam family "tRNA". From Rfam's summary of the family: Transfer RNA (tRNA) molecules are approximately 80 nucleotides in length. Their secondary structure includes four short double-helical elements and three loops (D, anti-codon, and T loops). Lineage: Eukaryota; Metazoa; Chordata; Mammalia; Artiodactyla; Bovidae. The record is from Rfam by way of RNAcentral. RNAcentral also lists the same sequence under 4 other names.